CUACGGGGGCAGCAGUGAGGAAUAUUGGUCAAUGGGCGCGAGCCUGAACCAGCCAUCCCGCGUGCAGGAUGACGGCCCUAUGGGUUGUAAACUGCUUUUCUAUGCCAAGAAACCUGAUUACGUGUAAUCAGUUGCCGGUAGCAUAGGAAUAAGCAUCGGCUAACUCCGUGCCAGCAGCCGCGGUGAAUACGGAGGAUGCAAGCGUUAUCCGGAUUCAUUGGGUUUAAAGGGUGCGCAGGUGGGCUUGUAAGUCAGUGGUGAAAUGCUGCCGCUUAACGGUAGAACUGCCAUUGAUACUGCGAGUCUUGAGUAUGGUUGAGGUAGGCGGAAUGUGUUGUGUAGCGGUGAAAUGCAUAGAUAUGACACAGAACGCCAAUUGCGAAGGCAGCUUACUAAGCCAUUACUGACGCUGAGGCACGAAAGCGUGGGGAGCGAACAGGAUUAGAUACCCUGGUAGUC
RNAcentral lists this ribosomal RNA (459 nucleotides) under uncultured bacterium. RNAcentral's name for it is "partial 16S ribosomal RNA". It matches the Rfam family "Bacterial small subunit ribosomal RNA", at positions 339 to 795 of the family's 1533-position model. The record is from RNAcentral.